This is a long non-coding RNA of Hemicordylus capensis (graceful crag lizard), 2727 nucleotides long. RefSeq lists it as uncharacterized. The record is from RefSeq and is a predicted model, not a curated record. The transcript is spliced from 4 exons. Lineage: Eukaryota; Metazoa; Chordata; Lepidosauria; Squamata; Cordylidae.
CCCAGCGCUGGUGGUUUCUCUCUGUGUGCAAAUCCGAAGCAGCUCGGAAAACAGGUUCAUGCCCGAGCAGGCAAGAGACCCGGAGCGGCUAGAACGUGAGUCUGCAUUUGGACCACACUUCUGUGUUAUCUCCAACAUGCUACAAUGAAGAGAAGCCAUGCUUGGGCUGAACAUAGGGAACGUGUCCUGCCUUUAGGUCCAGGCUCCAAAAUUACCUCGGUGCUCCUCUGGGUUGAACAUCUGACCAUCUCUCUCCUAUCUAUGACUCUUUCAAAGGAUUCUUACUGAAUCCCCACAAGCAGCGGAUCGGAUGCAGUUCUGAGUUUCCGAAAAGCCUCAGAAGGAGGCCAAAGCAGCAGCCACACAGAAGACUUGUGCGAGGCAAGCCCCUGCAAACGCACAGAGUUUCAUGAGCGCCAAACAAACUCUGUUUGCCCGCCCACCCAAGACCGCAAGAGGCGCACACAACCACGCAUCCCGAGGUGGAAGAUAUAUCUGAUUGAUUUACCCUCUCGGAUUCAGGGACCAAGAUUAUUUCAGUUUAUGGGCUGGGUGCUUUUUUUCACAGAAGCCAGAAACUUAUUACUCAGCACGACAUGAUAGAAUAGUGAUCCUCCCAGGCUGAUAGUGUGCGAUGUGUAUACAGCUACCUUUUCAAUGAAUAACUGUUUACUCUCUUGUUACUUCAGCAGUAAAGGAUUUCACAUCAGUUGCCUCCUACUGAGUCAGACAUUGGAACACUUCGGCAUUGACUGCACGGACUAGCAGCAGCUGUCCAAGGUUUCAGUCGGAGGACUUUCUCAGCCCUACCUGGAGAUGCUGCCAGGGACUGAACUUGGGAACUUCUCAGGCCUGCAAAUGCUAUGUACAAUUUAGUGCAAGAUUUCCUGCCGGAUACGCUGCUGCCUCAGGGCCUGAUCAAGUUCUAUAGCUGUCUUCUGAGAAAAUGAUAUUUGCUAUCUCCAGCUUGUGAUGGUGAUGGAGGGGCCGACGGUGUUUUCUGCUUGCAAGUACUGCUCUUUUCUCCAUCCACUUGAUUUAUUGAAGCGUUCCAGUGACUCACAAGGAGUGCUUUGAGAGUCUGAGAGCACCGCCAGCGCUUGGCUUGCCACUAGCAGAACAGGCAGCAGCAGCUGGACUGAAGAGCUAGAAGUCUUUUGCGCUUGCUUUCCUUCUGGGGUCUACAGCAAGAAGCCUCCUCCUUUCUGUCAGGCCAGUCAGAUUUCCAGUCCUGGCCAAAGCACUUGGAACUAAGACCAGCUGAGCUGGGUGGAGCUGUGGAUUCAGUGUCUGCCCAAGGACCCCAAGCGCAGCAUGUGUGGGUAAGGUGAUUUUUUUAACCUUUGCCCAGAUCGUGGGGUCAAAUUGACCCAGAGACCUGGAAGAAAAUACCAUAUGAUGUUGAUUUCAGUCAGGGGUGCAGAUCCCCCUUUAAGCAUUUGAGGAUUUCCCCUCUCAUUUUACUGAUCUCCCACCCCCACCACCAAAGUGUUACCUAUUCAGCUCUCCCCAAGUAUUUUUCUCUCUGUUGAAAAGUGCUUUUCUGUCCCCCCAAAACAUAUCUUCUCCCCCCUCAAGGUGCAUUUUUUCUCCCCCCUCCAAACAUUUUAAGUGAGGAGUUGCUCCUCAGGCUUUCCCUCUGUUUGCACCCAGUUUCAGUGCCCUACAAUUCUAGAGCCCACAGCCUAAAGGAGAACAAUGGUGUUCCAUGCCCCCAACCCCACCUGUAAUUUUUUGUAAACUGUUGUGUGUACUCUGAUGGUGUUGGGGGCAUUUUGACUCCAGAUUGCAAUGAAUGGGAAGCUGAAACUGUCUGAUUCCAUGCCAUUUUUCUGUGUACCAAAAUAUUGAUAUGUACAUCGAUGUCUUUGCCGCUAUCCUGCUACUGUACUGCCAAAGGGAACUACAUUAUAAGGAGUUGGAUUUUUUUUUUCCUUUGCAGCCACUGUCAACACUUCAGUGUUCUUAGUUCCAUGACUUAUUCUGGGGUGUAUUUGACCCCCACAGUGGAUUAAUAAAGCACACUUUUUAGUAGAGCAAAGGUGCUGCUUCCUUUAAAAUCCAAACCAAGCCUGAACCAUCUUCAUCUGUUGUAAGAGAACUCAAGUAUUCAAGUUGCAACGGAUUCUUCAGCAGGUCUUGAUGUAAAUGCAAAUGUUUAAAUUACACAGAACUCUUUGUUAGGGAUCCACAUAUCCUGGUAAUAAGCACAGGCAAGGCUGGGAAAAUCCCUCGUGCCUGACCUCCGGGUUCUUAGAAUUCUGAUGCUGAAGGUCCUUGAACAUUUUACACAGCUCUGCAGCAGACUGGUACCUAAGAAUCUGCACCCACUGAUAUAAAAUCUUUUUGCGCUCAGGUUUUCCAAAAGCAUGAGAAACUGAUAGAAGUGAGAUGUGCGCACAGGAGCAGGCAGAUGAAUCUAUAGAGGCUCCAGGCAAUACAGAAAAUGCACUGUCAGCAGCCACUGGGCACAAAUCCCCUCUCUCUUUCCUACAUGCACUAACUCUGUUUGGCUUCAGACUUAGCUCAGAGCAAGGGAGGAGGCGAGAUAUGUGGAUAUAACUCAUCUAGCUCUCUGUUGCAGCUAUGCACUCUGCUACGGAAUCCUAGCGAAAAAGCGGCCCUCCUCUUCUCUGCAAAUGCAGUAGGUGGCAGCCCAACACACUGCCAUCUAGUGGUCCCCCUGGAAAAUGACAGGGUGCCAAAUUCUCUCUCUCACUGUCCCGU